UGCUCUAGCUUGUUUCUAUCUAAUAAACCUGGAACUGCAGACUAAAUAUUGUUGGCUCUGUGUCAAAUUGCUUGUUUUGUUCCUAGAUUCUUCAGUGCUUCUUCAUGGCCUGCUGCAUCCAGCAGAGUCGGAGUGAACCUACUGUAAGACAACAUCUCAAAGAUGCUAUUGACCACAAGACUAGUACAGGUUAUUAGAAACUGCACAGCACAGGACUUGCAGGACUUGUGAGGACUUCAGAUGAUACCAGUACUCAAAAGACCUUAGAUGAUGGCAACUAUAGAUGGACAUACAAACUACCGCCACUGCAAAAAAGAUUCUAAUUUGAAAGAAGUUUAUAAUGCAUGUUCGCUACUCCCAAUUCAGAAGACUGAAUCAGCCGGUGUAUCUGAAUGUUUCUCAUACUCACUACUCUCUGCCGCAUCUGAAUUUAGC
This is a long non-coding RNA of Carassius carassius (crucian carp), 435 nucleotides long. RefSeq lists it as uncharacterized. The record is from RefSeq and is a predicted model, not a curated record. The transcript has 4 exons. NCBI's taxonomy places the organism in Eukaryota, Metazoa, Chordata, Actinopteri, Cypriniformes, Cyprinidae.